UUAGUGAAAUCGAGUAGGACGGGACACGUGAUAUCCUGUUUGAACAUGGGGGGACCAUCCUCCAAGGCUAAAUACUCCUGACUGACCGAUAGUGAACCAGUACCGUGAGGGAAAGGCGAAAAGAACCCCUGUGAGGGGAGUGAAAUAGAACCUGAAACCGUGUACGUACAAGCAGUAGGAGCCCACUUGUUGGGUGACUGCGUACCUUUUGUAUAAUGGGUCAGCGACUUAAUUUUAGUAGCAAGGUUAACCGUUUAGGGGAGCCGUAGGGAAACCGAGUCUUAACUGGGCGUCAUAGUUGCUAGGAUUAGACCCGAAACCGAGUGAUCUAGCCAUGGGCAGGUUGAAGGUGAGGUAACACUUACUGGAGGACCGAACCGACUAAUGUUGAAAAAUUAGCGGAUGACUUGUGGCUAGGGGUGAAAGGCCAAUCAAACUCGGAGAUAGCUGGUUCUCCCCGAAAGCUAUUUAGGUAGCGCCUCGGACGAAUACUACUGGGGGUAGAGCACUGUUAAGGCUAGGGGGUCAUCCCGACUUACCAACCCUUUGCAAACUCCGAAUACCAGUAAGUAAUAUCCGGGAGACACACGGCGGGUGCUAACGUCCGUCGUGAAGAGGGAAACAACCCAGACCGCCAGCUAAGGUCCCAAAGUUAUAGCUAAGUGGGAAACGAUGUGGGAAGGCUCAGACAGCCAGGAUGUUGGCUUAGAAGCAGCCAUCAUUUAAAGAAAGCGUAAUAGCUCACUGGUCGAGUCGGCCUGCGCGGAAGAUUUAACGGGGCUAAGCUAUACACCGAAGCUGCGGCAAUGUGAAUU
RNAcentral lists this ribosomal RNA (815 nucleotides) under Photobacterium kishitanii. Its description in RNAcentral is "bacterial LSU rRNA". It matches the Rfam family "Bacterial large subunit ribosomal RNA", at positions 399 to 1216 of the family's 2925-position model. Lineage: Bacteria; Pseudomonadati; Pseudomonadota; Gammaproteobacteria; Vibrionales; Vibrionaceae. The record is from RNAcentral.